CGAGCGGACUAAUGGGAGCUUGCUCCCAGAGGUUAGCGGCGAACGGGUGAGUAACACGUGGGCAACCUGCCCUGUAGACUGGGAUAACAUCGAGAAAUCGGUGCUAAUACCGGAUAAUAAUAGGAACUGCAUAGUUCCCAUUUAAAAGAUGGCUCCGGCUAUCACUACAGGAUGGGCCCGCGACGCAUUAGCUAGUUGGUAAGGUAACGGCUUACCAAGGCGACGAUGCGUAGCCGACCUGAGAGGGUGAUCGGCCACACUGGGACUGAGACACGGCCCAGACUCCUACGGGAGGCAGCAGUAGGGAAUCUUCCGCAAUGGACGAAAGUCUGACGGAGCAACGCCGCGUGAGUGAUGAAGGGUUUCGGCUCGUAAAGCUCUGUUGUUAGGGAAGAACAAGUGCCGUUCGAAUAGGGCGGCACCUUGACGGUACCUAACCAGAAAGCCACGGCUAACUACGUGCCAGCAGCCGCGGUAAUACGUAGGUGGCAAGCGUUGUCCGGAAUUAUUGGGCGUAAAGCGCGCGCAGGCGGUCUUUUAAGUCUGAUGUGAAAUCUCGGGGCUCAACCCCGAGCGGUCAUUGGAAACUGGGAGACUUGAGUACAGAAGAGGAGAGUGGAAUUCCACGUGUAGCGGUGAAAUGCGUAGAUAUGUGGAGGAACACCAGUGGCGAAGGCGACU
Molecule: ribosomal RNA, 681 nt
Filed under: Alkalihalobacillus alcalophilus
Lineage: Bacteria; Bacillati; Bacillota; Bacilli; Caryophanales; Bacillaceae
Description: bacterial SSU rRNA
Rfam family: Bacterial small subunit ribosomal RNA
Source: RNAcentral